GGGGGCGGGGGGCGGGGGGGAGGGAAGGGAGGAACGCGGGGAGCGGAGGUGGUGCGCGAGCUAGGCCCCGGCAGGGUCGCGCGCGCGCUCCCGCCUUCCCUCCCGCGCUUUCCCACCCUCCUUUGAGGGAAGCCGGGAAAAUGGGCAACGAGCUGUUGCUGCCGCCGCCGCCGCCGCCGCCGCCGCCGCCUUCUGCCUUUCCCUAGAGAAGUCUUGUUUUGGAGAAGAACGUGUUUUUUAAGGUUUCAAAUUGCUACCCUGUUCCAUCUAUGGAUUACAUUGGACACAUUUCAAAUCAGCCUAUGCCUUUUAUGGGGAAACACCCUAAGCUAAGGUCAGAUAGGAGGAACCAUAUUUUAGUUCUGCCAAAUACAUGAUGUUUAAUGCAUAAGACAAAUGCAUAAGUUAUUAUUUAGCACAGAAGAGUAUUCAAACUUUUAUGUAUUGAUGUGACUGAUCUACUCUGGAGAGCUCUGUGGUUCAAUAAUCCCAUUUGUAAAAUGGAAACAAUAUAAUAACUGACUAUAUAUAUAUUUAUGUAUAUCACAUAUAUAUAUAUGUAAUUUAAAGUUUGCAAAGUAUUUAGUGGAUAUUAACAUUAGCUCUUUGAGAUAAGUUAUAGUUUUAUAUAUAUAUAUAUAAGAAAAUAUAUUUAUAUUUUAUAUAUGUCUUAUAUAUAAGAAAAUAAAUUUUCAUGCUUACAGAUGAGGAAACUAAGGCUUAGAGAGACUGUGACUUACCUAUGACCAUAUCUGAAUCUAAGUCCUAACUUAGAGUCAAGGAAUUCUUACAUUAUCUACUUCAUUUAUGAUGCUUAAAAACUUUAUGAAAAGUAUUGCCCAAAGAGUUAAAAAUUUUUAGAAUUGGAACAAACUGUAACAAUCCUUUAGUUCAGCUCCUUCAUUUAUAGAUUAGAAGACAGAAUCUCAGAAAGAUGUACUUGUUUAUGGUCAUAUGAUAAAAGUCAUCCCCAGGAUAUGGUUUACUCAAACAUUUAAAAUAAGACCAAAAAAGAAAAAUGAAAUGGAUGAUCUUAUAAAAUAGGUACUUAUUGUGUAUGUUUGACUGGUGGUAAAACUGACCCUGGCCAAUCACUUAACCUUUCAGUGUUGGGGACAGUUCUCCAAGUAGCAGCCAAGCCAAAAUGCAAAGUGCAGAUCUGAAGUAUUAGAAAAAGCUCCUCACUGAGACCUCUACACUGAUGAAAUCACCGUUCUCAUCCAAAAUUAAAUGACAAAA
Sarcophilus harrisii (Tasmanian devil) is the source of this 1239-nucleotide long non-coding RNA. RefSeq lists it as uncharacterized. The transcript has 2 exons. The record is from RefSeq and is a predicted model, not a curated record. Lineage: Eukaryota; Metazoa; Chordata; Mammalia; Dasyuromorphia; Dasyuridae.